UACACGCAUCAUUGUAAGUCACUUUGGAUAAAAGAGUCUGCUAAAUGGCAUAUC
This is a non-coding RNA of Salmo salar (Atlantic salmon), 54 nucleotides long. The record is from Rfam. Lineage: Eukaryota; Metazoa; Chordata; Actinopteri; Salmoniformes; Salmonidae.